GUAGACCGGAGCUGUUCCUAUUCGGCCAUCUUGGCUCCUCCCGAUCUCCUGACCUCAGACCAUAGAUCCUAAGUGUGCAGUAGGCUUUCGCGUCUAGGUUUGUAUGGGCCAUGUGAUAGGAUUUUGACAAACGGAAAUGUAGAAAAAAGUACUGGCCAUUUCCAGGCCUGGCCCUUCAAUACAUCAUACAAACCUCUAGAUCUCUCUUUCCCUGCCGUAUCAGCAGUUUCCGACUCCACAUUUUCCAGAUGGUAUUGCUGCAAGACAGAGGAGGGCCACCUGACCACAUUAUGCCAUGCAUAAAUGAGAAAGAAAACUCUACACUGUUAAAAUACUGUUGUUACCUAUGGCAAAUCCUUACCAGUCUGCAGCAACCUCAACUCUUGCCUCCUCAGAAGAAACAAUUUGACUGAGCAUCAUAAGGCAGAGGAAGAGAGCAAGGCAAGAUUUAGAGCAGGAGUGAAAGUUUAUUAAAAUGCUAUAAAGAAGGAAUAAAAAGAAAGUAAAGUACACUUGGAAGAGGGCCAAGCAGGCAUCUUGGAGCUAAAGUGCCCCAUUUGACCUUGGGCCUAGGGUUUUAUAUGCUGGCAUUCUUCUGGCGUCUUCUGUCCCUUUUCCCUUAACUCUUACCUUGCGGUGAGCUGCCUGCAUGUGCGGUGGCCUGCUGGCACUUGGAAUGUGAGCACGUGUGGUAUGUUUACUGGAGUUGUAUGCAUGCUCACCUGAGGCAUUCUUCCCUUUACCAGUGGAAUGCCCCCGGAAGAUCACACACAUUAAACUCCGCCAUUUGGCCUCUUGAUGUGCAUGCUUGAGUCUACUCACCCAGCUCCGGAAAUCUUACCCAGAAGCUGCUGAUCACCGGUUUCAAUUGCUGCCUAUCUAUAAGGAGACUGCAUUUCCCUGGAGUUGGUUGAGAUCUUUUAUUAAGAAGCAGUGUGACAACUGCCUGACAAUCAUCUGAUGGUUGCCUGACUUUUUUGGUGGGGUGUGGGAACCCUCUCCUGCCCUGUUCGUGUCUGACUAGCUACCCAGUAUAACACUAUGAUUUCAGAAUUUUUGUUGUUGCAAAUUAACAGUUAUAGUAAUAGUUUUAAGAAUGAAGAGAUUAAGGGAAAAUCCAGUGGAAGAAAGUUGAUGAACAAAAACAGUAUCGUUGAGAAGGCAAGAUAGCUCAAUAGUGAAUUCAUAAAGUAGAAUCAGAAAUGUGGUCUUAUAGAAGACAAAUAGAAACACAAUCACUACAAACGUUCCCAAAAUGACCUGAAUAGAUGUUGUCUUUCUUACGACAACUGGGAAGGUUGUCAAGCCAUUUUUAUUAUAAUCUUCAAUUUGGCCCUUUUACAUGUCAGGUAUUGUGUUAAGCAUGCAUGUGUUUUCAUCUUUAUAAGAAUAUCCUGAAAAGGUGUUACUAUGAUUCUUCUAAAAUGAUUAAGAAACUGAUGCUUAAACAGGUUAAGUAAAUUACCCAUGGAAAGAGAGAUACUACAUGGUGGAGCUGAGGCUUGAACUAAGUUUUUCUCUCCCAAAGCAGAGACAUGCAACUCACCAUACAUACUACUUCUCUUGAACAGAGAAGUGCACUCAGUAAGUUGAACCAGCAUUUCUGUCAACUGUACAAAUCAGACAGUUUGCACUGCACCACUGGAUACUGAUAUAGAUAUUCCUGUAGUCACUAUUCCUCCAUAUUUCAUUAAGCUGUCAUUAUGACACUAUAAAUCCUUUAAAUAACAUCUUAAAAGUUAAUAGUGGUGGGGUUUGAAUGCCAUACCUUUAAUUCUAGUAACUUUGCUGACUUCUUGACUUUUAACUCUCAUCAAUAGACAAGAAAAUAACAAAUGUCCUUAAUUUACAUGGGAAAGAUUUCCUACUUAAAACCUUCCUAAUGGUUUGCCUGUGACUUUACAGUAUGAGCCUAUCCUCUUUGCCAUUGCUUACAGACUUCACCAUGGUCUGUUGUCUGCUUUUAUCUCCAAACUCAUCUCACUACAAUCUGCAUCCACCUCUAUAUUCUAAGUUUACUUGAACGCACCGAGUUAAUUCCCUCUAAAUGUCUUUGCAUCUGCUGUUCCUUCUGUCUAAAGGUCCUUCUACUGACUCUUCAAAUGUUGGUCUUCUCCUCAUUAUUUUGGUCUCAACAAAAUUUGUCAACUACUUAGAGAGACUCUUCCUGCUCAAGGGCUGUGAAGAGAUCCAUCCCCAUUAUACUUGACCCUGUUUUAUGUCUCUCCUGGAGCUCAUGCUGCUGCAAAUUGAUCUGGUUCAUUAAUUGACUUAUUUAUUAAUUCCUUUUUUAAUCCAACAAGAGCAUGAGUUCCAUGAGGGCAGUGAUUUUUUUCUACUGCCUUUAAUUUGCGGCUAUAUUUCUCCACUUGGAACAGUGACUGACACAAAGUAAAGAUUCAAAUCUUUGUUGAAUAACUGAAUGAAAGUAUAUUUGAUGUCUUUUAAAAAAGAACUGAGAUGAGGCCGGGCGUGGUGACUCACGCCUGUAAUCCUAGCACUUUGGGAGGCCAAGGUGGGCAGAUCACCUGAGGUCAGGAGUUUGAGAUCAGCCUGGCCAACAUGGUGAAGCCCCAUCUCUACUGAAAAUACAAAAAUUAGCCAGGCGUGGUGGCAGGCACCUGUAAUCCCAGCUACUUGGGAGGCUGAGGCAGGAGAAUCGCUUGAACCUGGGAGGCAGAGGUUGCAGUGAGCUGAGAUCUGCAUUCCAGUCUGAGCGACAAGAGCGAAACUCUGUCUCAAAAAAAAAAAAAAAAAAAAAAGAACUGAGAAACACUGGAGAAUAUAUAAGGUAGUAGUUAGAAAUUUGAAAAUGGAAGACCAGGCUUAAGGGGUUGAAACUUGGUUUUGCCAUUAACUGUGGUCACAUUCCUCAAACUUUCUUUUCUUCAAUUUCCUUAUUUGUAAAUAGGGAAAAUAAUAUAAGUUUCCUCAAGGGGUUAUCUAUAUUUACAAAUCUAAUUUAGAAUAGUUCACAACAUAGAAAAAGCAAUACACAUGUAUUUGUUACAUAAAUAAAUGAUAGACAAUACAAGUUGUAUGUCAAAAGCUUCAGGUUUCUUUCUUUGCUUUCAGUUCGGAUCACUGACUUCAUUUUUCAAUUAAAAAGACAUAGAACUGGGUUACUCAGUUUCUAUCAAAAUUUCUGUGUUUGUUGCUAUGUCCACAGCUGCUAUUAUCUGGAUUAUUAUUUGGUGCUAUGCCCAUAGCUGCCAUUAUUUGGGAGAGUUUGUGACUUCAUAGGGUUGGGGUAGGGUAAAGUGAUGCAGCCUGUGGUCAUUUCAGUAAAGAAAUGGACUGUGAAUCAUUUAGUUUGAUACAUUUUACUAAAAAUAUUUGUUAGAUAGUUUGCACCCACACCUCAUUUUGUUUAGAUAGAUUUUCAUUUUAUAAAAUUGAAAGUAGAAUUCUUUUCAGAAUUAGAUUACACUUUUUCCUUCUCUCUAUAAUAUUUUAAACCCUUUCUCUGUAUAACACUUUUCUAAGGCACUGGAGGAAUUUAAGUUUGGCAGUAUCACAAACAUGCUUGUACAAAACUCUUGUUAUCACAUUGCAAGACCAUGAAAAUAUAUGUUCAAAAACAGAUCAGUCAUUUAACAAGAACUGGAUAGCUCUGACUGAGUCAAAAGUAACUUCUUCCCAGUUCUUUAGAUAUGUUGUUCAAUUGUGUUUAAAUAUGUAAGCCCAGGGCUGGCUCUGGGCAAAAACGUCAACUUUAAAUCUUCAGCCUGUCAUUUAAUGCCCUCCACAUCUUGUUUUUUCCCUACCUUUUCAUUCUUAUUCAGAAUACAUUGUCCCUUGCGUCUUGUUUUUCAGCCUUAUUGACUAGUAAGAAGUCUUUUAAAACUCUGUGCAAUAUUUUGUGUUUGUUGUCACACAUCAUUGCUAGGAGAAUACAGCAUUGUCAGUAUGACUCUAGUGGCAAAAGACAACUAAAAGCUGGUCACUAAACUAUUUUAGGCUCUGCUUUAUGAACCUUUUCUCAUUCCUGAUUUUAAUAUCUGUUCUUUCAUUGAAAUAAACAGUAUCUUUGAGUGUAACAGCUUUUCUGGGUUCUGUGAGUACUUUUAUUAAAUAAUUGAGCUUGAGGAUGGUUCUGCAAAUCUCUGACUACAAUAACAAUAAAUGCAAAUGAUACAUGCAUCUUUCUCUGGGAAUAUCUCUUCAGAGAAGUUAAGGAAG
Molecule: long non-coding RNA, 4182 nt
Filed under: Homo sapiens (human)
Lineage: Eukaryota; Metazoa; Chordata; Mammalia; Primates; Hominidae
Description: HSALNT0173065
Source: RNAcentral